GCGGAGGAAAAGAAAAUAACAAUGAUUCCCUCAGUAACGGCGAGUGAACAGGGAAAAGCUCAAAGUUGGAACCUGGUGGGCCUAGCCUACCCGGAUUGUAAACUAAAGUUUUUGGGUCGUUUAGUCAGCCAGAUAAAUAAGUCCUCUGGAAAGGGGCGACAUAGAGGGUGAAAUCCCCGUCUUUGGUCUGAGCAUGAUUAGGCGUUUGGCCUGGAAACGAAGAGUCAGGUUGUUUGGGAAUGCAGCCUAAAAUGGGAGGUAAAUCUCUCCUAAAGCUAAAUAUUGACGAAAGACCGAUAGCGAACAAGUACCGUGAGGGAAAGAUGAAAAGCACUUUGAAAAGAGGGUCAAAAAGUACGUGAAAUUGCUGAAAGGGAACCGUAUAAAAUCAGACUUACUGGUAGGUAAUCAACCUUCCUCUCGGGGAGGGUGCACUUGCCUGCUAUUGUAUGCCAGCAAUACUUUGGUUGGGAGGAAAAAAGUAGGAGAAAUGUAGCCUGGGUUUCGGCUUAGGUGUUAUAGUCUCUUGCAAAAUACUCUCGGCUGGAGUAAGGAACGCAGCAAACCGUAAGGCGAAGAUUUUGGGCGCUUGGAGUUAAUAGUUGGAGAAUUUCUGCUUCGGGUGGUGCUUCAGCUAUUGAUUUUAACUCGCUUAAAGUUCUUUUAAUUUGCUUAGGUUGUUGGCUUAAUGAUUUUAUAUGAC
This 703-nucleotide ribosomal RNA is filed under the name Cunninghamella echinulata. Its description in RNAcentral is "LSU rRNA". It matches the Rfam family "Eukaryotic large subunit ribosomal RNA", at positions 50 to 648 of the family's 3401-position model. Lineage: Eukaryota; Fungi; Mucoromycota; Mucoromycetes; Mucorales; Cunninghamellaceae. RNAcentral also lists the same sequence under 1 other name. The record is from RNAcentral.